AGCAGCCGCGGUAAUUCCAGCUCCAAUAGCGUAUAUUAAAGUUGUUGCAGUUAAAAAGCUCGUAGUUGAAUUUCGGGAUCAAUAUGUUGGUCGUGCCUUGGUACGUACUGGCAUUAUCGAUUCCUACCUUCUGAAGAACCUCGAUGUCAUUAAUUUGGUGUCUUGGGGAAUCAGGACUGUUACUUUGAAAAAUUAGAGUGUUUAAAGCAGGCUCGCGCUUGAAUACAUUAGCAUGGAAUAAUGAAAUAGGACGUUUGAUUCUAUUUUGUUGGUUUCUAGGAUCGACGUAAUGAUUAAUAGGGAUAGUUGGGGGCAUUAGUAUUCAAUUGUCAGAGGUGAAAUUCUUGGAUUUAUUGAAGACUAACUACUGCGAAAGCAUUUGCCAAGGAUGUUUUCAUUAAUCAAGAACGAAAGUUAGGGGAUCGAAGACGAUCAGAUACCGUCGUAGUCUUAACCAUAAACUAUGCCGACUAGGGAUCGGAUGAUGUUAAUUUUUAAUGACUCAUUCGGCUCCG
This 515-nucleotide ribosomal RNA is filed under the name uncultured Glomus. RNAcentral describes it as "SSU rRNA". It matches the Rfam family "Eukaryotic small subunit ribosomal RNA", at positions 569 to 1088 of the family's 1831-position model. Lineage: Eukaryota; Fungi; Glomeromycota; Glomeromycetes; Glomerales; Glomeraceae. The record is from RNAcentral.